CUCGCGUCAUUUCGAGGGUUCGAAAACGACGGGUGAGCGACGGUGGGUUCCGGUGUCGAAUUUGACAUUUUCGGGAAUCCGGAUCGGAACGAUUAUCUGACGAUAAUCGUUUCGAUGUAAGGCGGUGUGUUUGCUGCCAAGUCACACUAAUAAUUAUGUUUAGUGGCAGCGAGUGACUGGUAGCACGAGUUAGGGAGUUCCGGGAUAGUUCGUGGGUCCCGGCGAAGUUUCGGUGCGAUUUUUGGGACUUCCGGCGUGUUACGGCAAUCGGUUUUGGAAAACCG
Molecule: long non-coding RNA, 284 nt
Filed under: Ananas comosus (pineapple)
Lineage: Eukaryota; Viridiplantae; Streptophyta; Magnoliopsida; Poales; Bromeliaceae
Description: long non-coding RNA (ACOM_LNC043199)
Source: RNAcentral